RNAcentral lists this non-coding RNA (92 nucleotides) under Herbaspirillum sp. Sphag64. Lineage: Bacteria; Pseudomonadati; Pseudomonadota; Betaproteobacteria; Burkholderiales; Oxalobacteraceae. RNAcentral also lists the same sequence under 1 other name. The record is from RNAcentral.
CUCUAUGGCGGGCCUUGGCAGGGACACCUUCGGGUGUGCCGGUUCUGGUAUGGUUCCCGGUCUGUCAACCCUGUCUUGUGCCCGCCACCCUC